This 267-nucleotide ribosomal RNA is filed under the name Pseudobutyrivibrio sp. JW11. RNAcentral describes it as "23S rRNA. Bacterial LSU". It matches the Rfam family "Bacterial large subunit ribosomal RNA", at positions 2659 to 2925 of the family's 2925-position model. Lineage: Bacteria; Bacillati; Bacillota; Clostridia; Lachnospirales; Lachnospiraceae. The record is from RNAcentral.
UAUUUGAGAGGAGCUGCCCCUAGUACGAGAGGACCGGGGUGGACGGACCACUGGUGUAUCAGCUGUCGACCAACGGCAUAGCUGAGUAGCCAAGUCUGGACGGGAUAAACGCUGAAGGCAUCUAAGCGUGAAGCCCCCCUCAAGAUGAGAUAUCCCAUUCCUUCAAGGAAAUAAGAUCCCUUAUAGACGAUAAGGUAGAUAGGUUCAAGGUGUAAGUGCGGUAACGCAUUCAGCUGAUGAAUACUAAUAGAUCGAAGGUUUAUUCUA